Equus caballus (horse) is the source of this 129-nucleotide microRNA precursor. The record is from Ensembl. Lineage: Eukaryota; Metazoa; Chordata; Mammalia; Perissodactyla; Equidae.
CAGGUGCCUUCUGUUGGCGACUGAGCAGGACUGUGUGUGACCUUUGCCUUCCCUCCAGUUAUUGCUGGGGCCUGGAGGCGGUAACUGACGGUCCACGCCCGGCCCCAGCUCUGCAUGGACCACUAGUAA